CCACGGGGGCUGCAGUGGGGAAUAUUGGACAAUGGGCGAAAGCCUGAUCCAGCCAUGCCGCGUGUGUGAAGAAGGCCUUCGGGUUGUAAAGCACUUUCAGUGGGGAAGAAAGCCUUGGGGCUAAUACCCUCGAGGAAGGACAUCACCCACAGAAGAAGCACCGGCUAACUCCGUGCCAGCAGCCGCGGUAAUACGGAGGGUGCGAGCGUUAAUCGGAAUUACUGGGCGUAAAGCGCGCGUAGGCGGUCUGAUAAGCCGGUUGUGAAAGCCCCGGGCUCAACCUGGGAACGGCAUCCGGAACUGUCAGGCUAGAGUGCAGGAGAGGAAGGUAGAAUUCCCGGUGUAGCGGUGAAAUGCGUAGAGAUCGGGAGGAAUACCAGUGGCGAAGGCGGCCUUCUGGACUGACACUGACGCUGAGGUGCGAAAGCGUGGGUAGCAAACAGGAUUAGAUACCCCGGUAGUC
Molecule: ribosomal RNA, 463 nt
Filed under: Vreelandella stevensii
Lineage: Bacteria; Pseudomonadati; Pseudomonadota; Gammaproteobacteria; Oceanospirillales; Halomonadaceae
Description: partial 16S ribosomal RNA
Rfam family: Bacterial small subunit ribosomal RNA
Source: RNAcentral